RNAcentral lists this small RNA (125 nucleotides) under Marmota monax (woodchuck). Lineage: Eukaryota; Metazoa; Chordata; Mammalia; Rodentia; Sciuridae. The record is from RNAcentral.
GCUGGGCACAGUGGUGCAAGCCUGUAAUCCCAGCAGCUUGGGAGGCUGAGACAGGAGGAUCACAGGUUCAAAGCCAACCUCCACAAACGUGAGGCUCUAAGCAACUCAGUGAGACCCUGUCUCUA